CUGUGCGUAAUGUCAGCCCGGUUAGACGGCCGGCUUUGGAAGCCGGAGGCCGCAGGUUCAAAUCCUGCCGCACAGACCA
This 79-nucleotide transfer RNA is filed under the name Burkholderia ubonensis. RNAcentral describes it as "tRNA-Pro". It matches the Rfam family "tRNA". From Rfam's summary of the family: Transfer RNA (tRNA) molecules are approximately 80 nucleotides in length. Their secondary structure includes four short double-helical elements and three loops (D, anti-codon, and T loops). Further hydrogen bonds mediate the characteristic L-shaped molecular structure. tRNAs have two regions of fundamental functional importance: the anti-codon, which is responsible for specific mRNA codon recognition, and the 3' end, to which the tRNAs corresponding amino acid is attached (by aminoacyl-tRNA synthetases). tRNAs cope with the degeneracy of the genetic code in two manners: having more than one tRNA (with a specific anti-codon) for a particular amino acid; and 'wobble' base-pairing, i.e. permitting non-standard base-pairing at the 3rd anti-codon position. The record is from RNAcentral. Lineage: Bacteria; Pseudomonadati; Pseudomonadota; Betaproteobacteria; Burkholderiales; Burkholderiaceae.